This 363-nucleotide long non-coding RNA is filed under the name Capsicum annuum. Its description in RNAcentral is "long non-coding RNA (CANN_LNC004440)". Lineage: Eukaryota; Viridiplantae; Streptophyta; Magnoliopsida; Solanales; Solanaceae. The record is from RNAcentral.
AAAGACUGAGAGAAUCAGAAAGAGAAUUGAGAGAGAAAAAUUAACAGAGAGAAAAAUACAGACAAGGAAAAACUUUGAAGAAGAAAACAAAGAAAGGCGGUAAACAAGAGAAGAAAAAGAAAGAAAAGAGUGAAGGUCGGGUUUUCGUUUGAAUUUUUGGUGGCGAUGUUUCUGUUCUUAUAAUCAUUUAAGUUUUAUGAAUCAAAGCAUGAAAUCUGAGCUGAUUAUUUAUGUGUGGUUUUAAAUCUGAGUUGUAUGUUUAAUUGCCCUUCAGAGCAUUUUAAUAUUUGUCCGUGGAUUUGGAGGUUUCAAGAUAUUAAUAUCUUGGAUAUAAAUAUGUUCUAAUUUGUGUUUGAAUUAAAG